ACUAUGUCCGCCACUAGUUGCAUGUACGCAAAGUUCAACUUUUUUCAAAAAUAUAUAGAACCUAAGAAUUUCAAAUAAUGUUUUGAAGAUUUCAAGAGAGUUUUGAUUCUAAAUAUUCGUGAUUUUCGAACUUGGAAAAAAAUUGAUUCUAGAGUUUUGAAGUUUGAAAAUUAAAAACCUUAUUUUCAAUUUCAUUAGCAUUAUCCGAAUUAAAAAUUUAGUCUUCCUAACAUUAAUUGAGUUAAAAAUAUCAAAAAGUGUUUUGUGUUGUGGCUUAUAUUAAUUUGACAAGGGAGAGAGGGCUAAAUAUUCGUGAUUUUCGAACUUGGAAAAAAAUUGAUUCUAGAGUUUUGAAGUUUGAAAAUUAAAAACCUUAUUUUCAAUUUCAUUAGCAUUAUCUGAAUUAAAAAUUUAGUCUCCCUAACAUUAAUUGAGUUAAAAAUAUCAAAAAGUGUUUUGUGUUGUGGCUUAUAUUAAUUUGACAAGGGAGAGAGGGGUCACAACAGAGAGAGAGAGUAGAGAGUGAAAUGUGUUUGUAGGGUUAUGUAGAGGAUGUGUUAUUCCCCCUACGCAAUGCCUUUAUUUAUAGUAAUAAGGAAGGGAAGAAUCUUUCUCCUCAAAUGAAUAAAAGUCCUAAUAGGGAAGAAUAACUAGUAUCAAAUCUAACCUAUGAUUUACACAAUCACACUUAAAUACAAUGUUUAUAACACGCCCCCUUGAAUGUGUAAAUACUCAAGUAGAUUCAGUAUCAUGUAGGGUUGAGGAAGUUGACCUGUCGACAUUAAUUCUGGGAACACACUAGUCUCAACUAAAGUAGGAACUUGCAAAUGGAACUAAGUCUCACAAAAAACCAAAUGGCUAUGGUAAAACCCAAUUAGGGACAAAACCCACAAUCUAAGGAAAAAUGCGUGAGAAAUGCAA
RNAcentral lists this long non-coding RNA (921 nucleotides) under Malus domestica (apple). RNAcentral's name for it is "long non-coding RNA (MDOM_LNC016412)". Lineage: Eukaryota; Viridiplantae; Streptophyta; Magnoliopsida; Rosales; Rosaceae. The record is from RNAcentral.